This is a non-coding RNA of Callorhinus ursinus (northern fur seal), 850 nucleotides long. The record is from RefSeq and is a predicted model, not a curated record. NCBI's taxonomy places the organism in Eukaryota, Metazoa, Chordata, Mammalia, Carnivora, Otariidae.
GGAAGUGUAACGGCAGGGCAAAGCCCAGUGACUACAGGAGCAGAGAGGAGAAAGCCACCAUCGCUGCCUUUGGAGGCCGAGGACGCUGAAGAAGAUCUCAGGGAGGAUGACGGCGUGGGCUCUAAGUGUGGGGCUGGACACCAGGGUGGGGUGCAUGAGAGAGGAGGACAUGGCCCCGCUCUCAAACAGCUUGCAGUCCAGCGGUGAGGCUGAUUCCACAGGAAAGGAAGUGCUGACAGAGAGCUUCUACUUGGGGCUGGAAGAGCAAGACUGCACCGAUGGGAAGACACAUCUCCUUCUGACCUGGACCCAGCCCCAGGGGAGCCCAUGCGGGUCCGGCCCCAAGGCUACGUGGAGCAGGUGGGUGUGCCUGGCAGUGCAUCCCGGAUCUGGGAACUUUCCUGCACUCACCCUUCGCGGGCUGGAGGGAAUGCCUUUAAGAAGAGCAAUCACAUCACAGAGGUUAAUUCCAGUCCUCUGAGCAGCCGCGGGAGGGGUGGCUCCCUGUUCUCGGGGGAAGCAGUCCAGCAUUGUGAAGGGAUGCAGAUGAAUAAAGUCACUGUUUACAAGAAAUUCUAAUCUUAGGGCAGUUCAAGGUAAAGACAGACAACAGCCAGGAACAGCCAAGAACAACACUCUGCCAGAACACAUGGAGACAGAGGCCUCCAGCCAGACAUUGUUUUUUCUCUAAAUAUUGUCACCAAAAAAACUCAUUCCGAAAAUCCCUCCGUCCCCUGGGCAGCCCCCAGCAUAUCAGUAAAAAUAAUAGUAAAAGUAAUUAGCUAUGAUAUUGGAUUGCCUACUAUGUACUAGACAUUUGUUUAUAUCACUUUAUUUUGAUGCUGACCCU